CGUGUGGGCGGUUUGGUAGGUCCGCUGUGAAAACUCGAGGCUCAACCUCGAGACGCCGGUGGAAACCAUCAGACUAGAGUCCGGAAGAGGAGAGUGGAAUUCCUGGUGUAGCGGUGAAAUGCGCAGAUAUCAGGAAGAACACCCGUGGCUAAGGCGGCUCUCUAGUACGGUACUGACGCUGAGACGCGAAAGCGUGGGGAGCGAACA
Molecule: ribosomal RNA, 207 nt
Filed under: uncultured bacterium
Lineage: Bacteria
Description: partial 16S ribosomal RNA
Rfam family: Bacterial small subunit ribosomal RNA
Source: RNAcentral